Molecule: long non-coding RNA, 766 nt
Filed under: Marmota monax (woodchuck)
Lineage: Eukaryota; Metazoa; Chordata; Mammalia; Rodentia; Sciuridae
Source: RNAcentral
ACCUUCCCCUCCCCCUCCCCGCCCCCUCCCCCUCACGCACCCCCAAGACUCUCUCUAUUUAGCACAAAGCAAAAGCUGAUAAACGUGGGGUUCGCCUCCUUCCAGAAAAAAAAAAUGUCCUGGCUCAUCGGGACUUUUUUAAAAAAUAAAAAUUUAAAAAAAAAAUUUUAAAAAAAGAUAAAAUUAAAAAAAAAAACCUUCAAACUAUUUUUAAGCUAUUUUAAACUUUUGUAAAAAAAAAAAUACGACUAAAAAAAAAAACCCACAAAGAUCUAUGAAAUCCAUCCACGGGAGACUCUUCGGAGGAGGAAAUAUUUGUAUUUGAACAAAAUCCUUGGUGUGUCCCCCUCCCCGUCUCCUGUCCCCGCAGAAUACGAGCUUCUGUGUGUCCAUGUUUGAUGAUGGAGGGUCCCUGGGAUCCGCGGGGCUCAUGUGUGUGUGUGUGUGUGUUCAUUUCUUCUUUGGCUUUUUAGAUAAAUAUGUAUAUCGAUAUUUUAAAUCCAUCUUUGGCUUUUUCUGUUUUGUAGAGGAGUUUGUAAUCACCUUAUAACACGACAAUAAACAUUUCCUUUUUGAAAGCCCCCAGCUGGUGUGCGGUGUGUUGGGGCUGAGCGGACGUUUCCCCGUGGGUUGGGCGGCUCGAGCCCUUGACGGUUUCUAGAAAUUUCUGUGAAGGGCUUUUUGAGGCCAACCCUGCAAAACUGUAGAGUGCAGGUGGAGGAUCCCGUCCCAGGUGGGGGGGGGACCAUUUCUGUAUUUUAUUGAG